Molecule: long non-coding RNA, 1474 nt
Filed under: Oryctolagus cuniculus (rabbit)
Lineage: Eukaryota; Metazoa; Chordata; Mammalia; Lagomorpha; Leporidae
Description: lncRNA (ENSOCUG00000034164.1)
Source: RNAcentral
GGUCCCGGCCGCUCCCUCGUUUUGCUGGUCCAGCCCGGGAUCCGGCGGGUCUCAGAUAUGGGGCAGGGAGGGUGCCUACGAUAAAACCGCAGCGCUGCAGGAGAGCAGGGAGUGUGCGGAAAGCAGUGAGGGUAGCCUCAGAACGCUGCAGGCGCGCUUGUGUGGUUCACGCCGAGCUGGAGGCCGGGAGCGCAGGUGACAGGGCACGGAGGUGCCUCCCUCGCCGGGAAGAAGCUGAAGCAGCGGUUUGCUCCCGCCUAACCCCGAGAAUGCGAGGGAGGCGGUGAUUUUUAUUGUAAAUAGUCAAACUCUCCUUGUGAUGACCUCAUCCCUGACAGAUGUGUCUUCGGAUCCUACCAGAAUAAGGCACUUAAAAAAAUUAAAUCCAGUUUUGGAAUUUAUCUGAUGUAAAAUAUAUUUAUUUUCUUUGGAGUUGAAGGGCCAGACAAUUCUGCUGUCAUGGGUUUUAUUGGCUUCCUCGGCCAGUGGUACAUUUCACUGGGUGGUUUUUUUUUUUUUUUUCUUCCAGUAACAAAAAGGAUGUUUUAGGCAUGUGUCCAUUCCCAGGGUCCCCGGGACCCAGGAGUUCCUCACACCUUCAAAACACAAGAGACCAGAGAAGCCCUCCUGCUAGAAGGGACUGGUCUCUGGCAUGUGGGAGACCUUGGUAGGCAACUCAGGGGAGGCUGAGCCAUGUUCCUGGGAGAGGGCGGGGUGGGGGGGCAGCCUGCUGUGGCCACUUUGCUCCUGAUCUUGCACUCAGUCCUCCCUCCUUGGCCCCUCCUUGUCCUUCCUGGCCCCCUCCCAUCAACACUCGCCACCUGGAGACAAGUCCUCGUGGCCAGUGCUGACCUGCUUUUCUAAGAAAGAUAAAGUGCUUUCAGCAGCUUCUACGGUAGGUGGGGACUGCUGGUACCCGGGUUGACCUUCCAGGUUAGUCUCCAUAGCAACUGCUCCCCCCCACCCAGCUCUGGCAGCGUCUCAGCUGGACUAUGGGUCCCCAGCUUUCUUUGCUGAGUUCUCAAGGGAAUGUAUGUGCCAUUUGCUGGUGGAGGCUUUCAACACGUGGGUGUGUCCUCAUCCCCCUGUCCCAGGCUUCUGUCCUCUGCCUCUGUCAGGAUGUGGACAGUGAGGCCCUGGGGAAGAACUGGCUUCCUGAAUGCUGUGUGGAGGAGAGCUGCCCACUGCCAGGAAUCAGCCGCCUGGGACUUCAUGUGCGGAGGACUGCUAUUUCACAUCCGCUAGAGGCUCAAGGGCUGAAGAGAGUUGGUAGCUGGCUCCAACCGUCCUCCUGUGAUUUUGUGAAGUGGAACAAAGCCCACAAAACCAGGGCUACUAUUGUAGCAAGAACACAGUGUGAAAUGAAGCAGAGUUUUGGCAAUUUGAGUCUUAAUUUGACAUAUAGAUAGAAAUGUAGAAUUACAUAGGUCAGAAUUUUAAUAAAGAGAUUUUCUGAAUUAUCUAGUUUGAUAUA